This 435-nucleotide unclassified non-coding RNA is filed under the name fungal sp. Its description in RNAcentral is "partial internal transcribed spacer region". The stretch from base 1 to 46 matches the Rfam family "Eukaryotic small subunit ribosomal RNA", at positions 1786 to 1831 of the family's 1831-position model. Lineage: Eukaryota; Fungi. The record is from RNAcentral.
AAGUCGUAACAAGGUUUCCGUAGGUGAACCUGCGGAAGGAUCAUUAACACGUAUCCACGUAUAUACCUCUUGUGAACUUAUUAUUGUAUGUAGUUGUCUCUAAGAUAUGUCUGAGGAAGUAGAUGGCCAUGUCGUCAGUCAAAAAAAAAUAAUAUUUUUUUUGGCUAUCGUUCUACUUGCCUAUCCACCUUUGCUGAGUACUAGUGUUUCGAGGUUGUUCCACAGCUUUUUGUGAGUUCAUCCCUGCUAGUCAUACACUCCUUAGGAUUGGGUAUCUGAGAUGACUCGAAUCAUGGUGGUUAUUAAACCUAUUAACCCCUUCUAUCUAAAUUUUUUGUUGUAUAUUUUUUUUUCGGUAAGGUGUUUUUACAUCUGGCCUAAAAAAAAUAAAAAAAUUAACACUAUACAACUCUUAGCAACGGAUAUCUCGGUUCU